UACGGAGGGAGCUAGCGUUAUUCGGAAUUACUGGGCGUAAAGCGCACGUAGGCGGCUUUGUAAGUUAGAGGUGAAAGCCUGGAGCUCAACUCCAGAAUUGCCUUUAAGACUGCAUCGCUUGAAUCCAGGAGAGGUGAGUGGAAUUCCGAGUGUAGAGGUGAAAUUCGUAGAUAUUCGCAAGAACACCAGUGGCGAAGGCGGCUCACUGGCCCGGUACUGACGCUGAGGUGCGAAAGCGUGGGGAGCAAACAGGAUUAGAA
Molecule: ribosomal RNA, 260 nt
Filed under: uncultured bacterium
Lineage: Bacteria
Description: partial 16S ribosomal RNA
Rfam family: Bacterial small subunit ribosomal RNA
Source: RNAcentral